RNAcentral lists this transfer RNA (76 nucleotides) under Listeria monocytogenes. RNAcentral's name for it is "tRNA-Ala". It matches the Rfam family "tRNA". Rfam says of the family: Transfer RNA (tRNA) molecules are approximately 80 nucleotides in length. Their secondary structure includes four short double-helical elements and three loops (D, anti-codon, and T loops). Further hydrogen bonds mediate the characteristic L-shaped molecular structure. tRNAs have two regions of fundamental functional importance: the anti-codon, which is responsible for specific mRNA codon recognition, and the 3' end, to which the tRNAs corresponding amino acid is attached (by aminoacyl-tRNA synthetases). tRNAs cope with the degeneracy of the genetic code in two manners: having more than one tRNA (with a specific anti-codon) for a particular amino acid; and 'wobble' base-pairing, i.e. permitting non-standard base-pairing at the 3rd anti-codon position. Lineage: Bacteria; Bacillati; Bacillota; Bacilli; Caryophanales; Listeriaceae. The record is from RNAcentral.
GGGGCCUUAGGGGGGCUGGGAGAGCGCCUGCUUUGCACGCAGGAGGUCAGCGGUUCGAUCCCACUAGGCUCCACCA